GACGAACGCUGGCGGCGUGCUUAACACAUGCAAGUCGAACGGAAAGGCCUCUUUCGGGGGGUACUCGAGUGGCGAACGGGUGAGUAACACGUGAGUAACCUGCCCUUGACUUUGGGAUAACUUCAGGAAACUGGGGCUAAUACCGGAUAGGAGCUCCUGCUGCAUGGUGGGGGUUGGAAAGUUUCGGCGGUUUGGGAUGGACUCGCGGCUUAUCAGCUUGUUGGUGGGGUAGUGGCUUACCAAGGCUUUGACGGGUAGCCGGCCUGAGAGGGUGACCGGCCACAUUGGGACUGAGAAACGGCCCAGACUCCUACGGGAGGCAGCAGUGGGGAAUAGUGCACAAUGGGUGGAAGCCUGAUGCAGCAACGCCCGGUGCGGGAUGACGGCCUUCGGGUUGUAAACCGCUUUCGCUCAUGACGAAGCUUUGUGUGACGGUAGUGGGUAAAGAAGCACCGGCUAACUACGUG
Molecule: ribosomal RNA, 467 nt
Filed under: uncultured bacterium
Lineage: Bacteria
Description: partial 16S ribosomal RNA
Rfam family: Bacterial small subunit ribosomal RNA
Source: RNAcentral